GACGAACGCUGGCGGCGUGCUUAACACAUGCAAGUCGAACGGAAAGGCCCUGCUUUUGUGGGGUGCUCGAUUGGCGAACGGGUGAGUAACACGUGAGUAACCUGCCCUUGACUUUGGGAUAACUUCAGGAAACUGGGGCUAAUACCGGAUAGGAGCUCCUGCUGCAUGGUGGGGGUUGGAAAGUUUCGGCGGUUGGGGAUGGACUCGCGGCUUAUCAGCUUGUUGGUGGGGUAGUGGCUUACCAAGGCUUUGACGGGUAGCCGGCCUGAGAGGGUGACCGGCCACAUUGGGACUGAGAUACGGCCCAGACUCCUACGGGAGGCAGUAGUGGGGAAUAUUGCAGAAUGGGCGGACGCCUGAUGUAGCAACGCCGCGUGCGGGAUGACGGCCUUCGGGUUGUAAACAGCUUUCGACUGUGACGAAGAGUGAGUGACGGUAAUGGGUAAAGAAGCACCGGCUAACUACGUG
RNAcentral lists this ribosomal RNA (468 nucleotides) under uncultured bacterium. RNAcentral describes it as "partial 16S ribosomal RNA". It matches the Rfam family "Bacterial small subunit ribosomal RNA", at positions 28 to 507 of the family's 1533-position model. The record is from RNAcentral.